GGGAUCCGAUUUUAGCAUGGAAUAAUAAAAUAGGACGUGCGGUUCUAUUUUGUUGGUUUCUAGAGUCGCCGUAAUGAUUAAUAGGGAUAGUUGGGGGCAUUGGUAUUGAGUCGCUAGAGGUGAAAUUCUUGGAUUGACUCAAGACCGACUAUUGCGAAAGCAUUUGCCAAGGAUGUUUUCAUUAAUCAAGAACGAAGGUUAGGGGAUCGAAAACGAUCAGAUACCGUUGUAGUCUUAACAGUAAACUAUGCCGACUAGGGAUCGGGCGACCUCAAUUAUUAUGUGUCGCUCGGCACCUUACGAGAAAUCAAAGUCUUGGGUUCUGGGGGGAGUAUGGUCGCAAGACUGAAACUUAAAGGAAUUGACGGAAGGGCACCCCCAGGUGUUAAACCUGCGGCUUAAUUUGACUCAACACGGGGAAACUCACCAGGUCCAGAAAUCUAGA
RNAcentral lists this ribosomal RNA (445 nucleotides) under uncultured fungus. Its description in RNAcentral is "SSU rRNA". It matches the Rfam family "Eukaryotic small subunit ribosomal RNA", at positions 793 to 1236 of the family's 1831-position model. Lineage: Eukaryota; Fungi. The record is from RNAcentral.